GAAUUCCAGGUGUAGCGGUGAAAUGCGUAGAGAUCUGGAGGAAUACCGAUGGCGAAGGCAGCCAUCUGGCCUAAUACUGACACUGAGGUACGAAAGCAUGGGGAGCAAACAGGAUUAGAUACCCUGGUAGUCCAUGCCGUAAACGAUGUCUACUAGCCGUUGGGGUCUUUGAGACUUUAGUGGCGCAGCUAACGCGAUAAGUAGACCGCCUGGGGAGUACGGUCGCAAGACUAAAACUCAAAUGAAUUGACGGGGGCCCGCACAAGCGGUGGAGCAUGUGGUUUAAUUCGAUGCAACGCGAAGAACCUUACCUGGUCUUGACAUAGUAAGAACUUUCCAGAGAUGGAUUGGUGCCUUCGGGAACUUACAUACAGGUGCUGCAUGGCUGUCGUCAGCUCGUGUCGUGAGAUGUUGGGUUAAGUCCCGCAACGAGCGCAACCCUUUUCCUUAUUUGCCAGCGGGUUAAGCCGGGAACUUUAAGGAUACUGCCAGUGACAAACUGGAGGAAGGCGGGGACGACGUCAAGUCAUCAUGGCCCUUACGACCAGGGCUACACACGUGCUACAAUGGUCGGUACAAAGGGUUGCUACCUAGCGAUAGGAUGCUAAUCUCAAAAAGCCGAUCGUAGUCCGGAUUGGAGUCUGCAACUCGACUCCAUGAAGUCGGAAUCGCUAGU
This 676-nucleotide ribosomal RNA is filed under the name Acinetobacter sp. RNAcentral's name for it is "bacterial SSU rRNA". It matches the Rfam family "Bacterial small subunit ribosomal RNA", at positions 664 to 1339 of the family's 1533-position model. Lineage: Bacteria; Pseudomonadati; Pseudomonadota; Gammaproteobacteria; Moraxellales; Moraxellaceae. The record is from RNAcentral.